UAGCUUCUUUUUGGUUCAGGUGUACCAUACUUCUAUCUUAAUCCAGCUUUCAUCACACUGCGUCCAACAAUAGUUUUUCUUCGGCUGCAUAAAUUUCCAAAGUGCCUCGGGAGAGUAAGUUCGGGUUGUGUCUUUCAUCCACUAAACAUCCUUCCCUCACGCCUCUGGUUUUUAUCCAUCAAUCGGUAACCCAACACCCAAACAGUUGAAAAUAAAAGAAAUCAAAGUUAACUUAAAAAAAAUUGAAAAAAAACAAAACGGAAAAUAACUAAAACAAUGAAAAGAACCCCCCCUCACACUUGAACUAAACAUUGACCCCAAUGUUUAAACCCAA
Molecule: long non-coding RNA, 334 nt
Filed under: Lathyrus oleraceus (garden pea)
Lineage: Eukaryota; Viridiplantae; Streptophyta; Magnoliopsida; Fabales; Fabaceae
Description: Pisum sativum (pea) long non-coding RNA (PSAT_LNC025831)
Source: RNAcentral